Molecule: ribosomal RNA, 305 nt
Filed under: uncultured bacterium
Lineage: Bacteria
Description: bacterial SSU rRNA
Rfam family: Bacterial small subunit ribosomal RNA
Source: RNAcentral
UCCUACGGGGCGCAGCAGUGGGGAAUAUUGCACAAUGGGGGGAACCCUGAUGCAGCGACGCCGCGUGAGUGAAGAAGUAUUUCGGUAUGUAAAGCUCUAUCAGCAGGGAAGAAGAUGACGGUACCUGACUAAGAAGCCCCGGCUAACUACGUGCCAGCAGCCGCGGUAAUACGUAGGGGGCAAGCGUUAUCCGGAAUUACUGGGUGUAAAGGGAGCGUAGACGGUUAAGUAAGUCUGGAGUGAAAGGCCGGGGCCCAACCCCGGGACUGCUCUGGAAACUAUUUAACUUGAGUGCAGGAGAGGUA